Molecule: ribosomal RNA, 204 nt
Filed under: Triticum aestivum (bread wheat)
Lineage: Eukaryota; Viridiplantae; Streptophyta; Magnoliopsida; Poales; Poaceae
Description: partial small subunit ribosomal RNA
Source: RNAcentral
AUGCUCGCACUUUCUAUAUGGAGCUGGGAGUGAUUGCCGGUUGGACGACCGAAGACCAUGAAGUAUGAGGAUUGGGACGACAAAGACGACCCACUACCGUUCCCCACUUGGGCUUACAAGUGGGAUGUGAGACGACGGAUGAUCCCUCGGUUAUGUACAAGUUGUACACAAGCGAGCUGGACACAAUUAUGGCUGAGUAGGUGA